RNAcentral lists this long non-coding RNA (363 nucleotides) under Astyanax mexicanus (Mexican tetra). Its description in RNAcentral is "lncRNA (ENSAMXG00005011271.1)". Lineage: Eukaryota; Metazoa; Chordata; Actinopteri; Characiformes; Acestrorhamphidae. The record is from RNAcentral.
CUCUGUCUCUCUCUCAGAGCUGCAGGAGGACCUGAGGGAAGCCAGGAAGUGCACUGAGGUCCACGAGUCCUACUCCGAACUACAGGAUAAGUAUGAUAAAGAAGUUUCGAAACUGAGUAAUAACUUCGCUCGUCAGGUUUUAACGAUUAAAACUCUGUCGGACGAGGUGAGCCUCCUGAAAAGCAAGCUCAGCGUGGCAACUGGCAACACUGACGCGCUGGAGGCGGAGCUGAAGAAGAAGAGUGGAGAUCUGAUGAAGGUGAUGAAGGAGCUGGAAAAGUCUAAAGUAGACUCAUCUGAAAGUAAGGGACCUUUACAUCAAUAAAUAAUCAAUACACCACUAAUAAAACACUAAUAAUUCAC